Molecule: ribosomal RNA, 491 nt
Filed under: Cuneopalpus cyanops
Lineage: Eukaryota; Metazoa; Arthropoda; Insecta; Psocodea; Elipsocidae
Description: partial 16S ribosomal RNA
Rfam family: Bacterial large subunit ribosomal RNA (bases 370-491)
Source: RNAcentral
UGUCUUUAAGAAAAUUAUUUAAAGUCCAAUCUGCUCACUGAAAUUUAAAGAGCCGCAGUAUUUUGACUGUGCAAAGGUAGCAUAAUCAAUAGUUUUUUAAUUGAAAACUGGAAUGAAAGAUUAGACGAAAUUUUGACUUUCUUUAUUUUAACAAAAUUGAAUUUAAAAUUUAAGUUAAAAUUCUUAAAUGUUUUUAAAAGACGAGAAGACCCUAUAGAUUUUUAUUAUUUAUAAUAAAUGAUAUAAAAUAUUUAUAUAAGAUAAUUUGAUUGGGGCGAUAUUGUAACAUAAAAAUCUUAAUUUUAUAAAACCAUCAAUAAUUGAAUUGUUGAUCUGAAAUUUUCAAAUAAAAGAUUAAAUUACCUUAGGGAUAACAGCGUAAUUUUAUUUAAGAGUUCAUAUCUAUAAUAAAGGUUGCGACCUCGAUGUUGAAUUAAGAAAUAUAUUGGAGUAGAAAUUAAUAAAAAUUAGUCUGUUCGACUAUUAAAUUC